GGAGGGGACCGGGCAGCCGCUGCGCCGUACGGUGCAGAGGAAAGUCCGGACUCCACAGGGCCGCAAGCCUGCUAACGGCAGGGAGGGGUAACCCUACGGAAAGUGCCACAGAAAACAAACCGCCCGAAGGGCUUCGGCCCAGAGGGUAAGGGUGAAACGGCGGGGUAAGAGCCCACCGCUCUUCCGGCAACGGAAGAGGCACGGUAAACCCCUUGCGGAGCAAGGCCAAAUAGGGAGGUGUUCGAGGCUGGCCCGGCCGAAACCUCCGGGUAGGCUGCUGGAGGCCGCCGGUGACGACGGUCCCAGAGGAAUGGCUGCCACCCCCGGGCGACCGGGGGGACAGAAUCCGGCUUACAGGUCCCCUCCAGGA
RNAcentral lists this RNase P RNA (370 nucleotides) under Acidobacteriota bacterium. RNAcentral's name for it is "Acidobacteria bacterium (hot springs metagenome) RNase P RNA component class A". It matches the Rfam family "Bacterial RNase P class A". From Rfam's summary of the family: Ribonuclease P (RNase P) is a ubiquitous endoribonuclease, found in archaea, bacteria and eukarya as well as chloroplasts and mitochondria. Its best characterised activity is the generation of mature 5'-ends of tRNAs by cleaving the 5'-leader elements of precursor-tRNAs. Cellular RNase Ps are ribonucleoproteins. The record is from RNAcentral. Lineage: Bacteria; Pseudomonadati; Acidobacteriota.